UCUUAGAUGACUGAGAUAUAAGUGUUAGAUUUUUAAUCUAGAAACGGCAAAAGUGCCUCUAAGAACCA
This 68-nucleotide transfer RNA is filed under the name Nassarius foveolatus. Its description in RNAcentral is "tRNA-Lys". Lineage: Eukaryota; Metazoa; Mollusca; Gastropoda; Neogastropoda; Nassariidae. The record is from RNAcentral.